AUGGAGGGUGCGGAGAGCUGCGGCAAGAGCGUUACGACUGAGGAGGAGGUGGUGAAGCCGGAGUACGAGCAGGGAGAGGUGAUGAUGAUGCAGGAGCAGGGCGGAGGUGCUGCGGCGGCGGCGGCGGAGGAAGCCAUGGCGCCGGCCCAGAUCGACGUGAGGAUGGACGUGGCUCUGCUCCACUGCCAGGCCUGCCUCCUCCCCCUCAAGCCCCCCGUGUUCAAGUGCGAGGCCGCCGGGCACGUGGUGUGCUGCUUCUGCCGCGCCGGCCACGCGGGGCUCUGCAGCCGCGCCAGCGCCCACUGCGGCGAGCUGGACGCCGUCGUCGGCGCCGUCAAGGUGCCCUGCCCCUACAGGGCGUUCGGCUGCGAGCGCUACCUGGUGUACCACGACGCCGCGGACCACCAGCGCGCGUGCCGGUGCGCGCCCUGCUCCUGCCCGGAGCCCGGCUGCGUCUUCGUGGGCUCCCGCGCCAUGCUCCUCGGCCACUUCGCCGCCGGCCACCAGCGCCCCGCCGUCACGGUCCGCUACGGCCGGGCCUGGAACCUGAGCCUCUCCCUGGCGCACCGCUGGCACGCGCUCGUCGGGGACGAGGACCGCAGCGUGUUCCUCGUGUCCCUCGGCCCGCUCGGCGCGGCCACCGCCGUGUCGCUGCUCUGCGUCCGGCCGGACGGCGAGGCCGGGGCGGCGCCCCGGUUCCGGUGCAAGCUCUCCGUGGAGCGCCCGGCGGGCGACGGCAAGGACAACCUGGUCCUCAUGGCCUCGGCGGUGAGCAGCAGCGCGCUGUCCACCGGCGCGCCGGCGCCGGGGCAGGGGAUGUUCUUGCGGUGCCUAAGGAGCUGA
RNAcentral lists this ribosomal RNA (843 nucleotides) under Triticum aestivum (bread wheat). RNAcentral's name for it is "partial small subunit ribosomal RNA". Lineage: Eukaryota; Viridiplantae; Streptophyta; Magnoliopsida; Poales; Poaceae. The record is from RNAcentral.